AUGAACGCUAGCGGCAGGCUUAACACAUGCAAGUCGAGGGGCAGCACUUGUGGCAAUACAUGGUGGCGACCGGCGCAAGGGGUGCGUAACGCGUUGAGCAACAUGCCCGUAUCAGGGGGAUAAUCCAGGGAAACUUGGUCUAAUACCCCAUUAGCAAUUAUUUGAGGCAUCUUAAAUAUUUAAAGCUUUGGUGGAUACGGAUUGGCUCGCGUGACAUUAGCUAGAUGGUAAGGUAACGGCUUACCAUGGCUACGAUGUCUAGGGGUUCUGAGAGGAAGAUCCCCCACACUGGAACUGAGACACGGUCCAGACUCCUACGGGAGGCAGCAGUGAGGAAUAUUGGACAAUGGAUGGAAAUCUGAUCCAGCCAUGCCGCGUGCAGGAAGACGGCCCUAUGGGUUGUAAACUGCUUUUGUGUGGGAGCAAUAAGGUCUAUGCGUAGACUGAUGAGAGUACCAUACGAAUAAGCAUCGGCUAACUCCGUG
RNAcentral lists this ribosomal RNA (485 nucleotides) under uncultured bacterium. Its description in RNAcentral is "bacterial SSU rRNA". It matches the Rfam family "Bacterial small subunit ribosomal RNA", at positions 29 to 507 of the family's 1533-position model. The record is from RNAcentral.